GUCAGGCAUGGUGGUGCAUGCCUGUGGUCCCAGCUACUCAGGAGGCUGAGGUGGGAGGAUCACUUGAGCCCAGAAGGUCGAGGCUGCAGUGAGUGGAGAUCAUACCACUGCACCCCAGCCUGGGCAACAGAGUGAGACCCUGUCUCUA
Molecule: small RNA, 148 nt
Filed under: Pongo abelii (Sumatran orangutan)
Lineage: Eukaryota; Metazoa; Chordata; Mammalia; Primates; Hominidae
Description: Metazoan signal recognition particle RNA (ENSPPYG00000039924.1)
Source: Rfam by way of RNAcentral